CGAGUUGAUCAUGGCUCAGAUUGAACGCUGGCGGCAUGCCUUACACAUGCAAGUCGAACGGCAGCACGGGAGCAAUCCUGGUGGCGAGUGGCGAACGGGUGAGUAAUAUAUCGGAACGUGCCCAGUCGUGGGGGGAUAACGUAGCGAAAGCUACGCUAAUACCGCAUACGAUCUAUGGAUGAAAGCGGGGGAUCGCAAGACCUCGCGCGAUUGGAGCGGCCGAUAUCAGAUUAGGUAGUUGGUGAGGUAAAGGCUCACCAAGCCGACGAUCUGUAGCUGGUCUGAGAGGACGACCAGCCACACUGGGACUGAGACACGGCCCAGACUCCUACGGGAGGCAGCAGUGGGGAAUUUUGGACAAUGGGCGCAAGCCUGAUCCAGCAAUGCCGCGUGAGUGAUGAAGGCCUUAGGGUUGUAAAGCUCUUUACCCGGGAUGAUAAUGACAGUACCGGGAGAAUAAGCUCCGGCUAACUCCGUG
RNAcentral lists this ribosomal RNA (478 nucleotides) under uncultured bacterium. RNAcentral describes it as "bacterial SSU rRNA". It matches the Rfam family "Bacterial small subunit ribosomal RNA", at positions 9 to 507 of the family's 1533-position model. The record is from RNAcentral.